Molecule: ribosomal RNA, 1892 nt
Filed under: human gut metagenome
Description: bacterial LSU rRNA
Rfam family: Bacterial large subunit ribosomal RNA
Source: RNAcentral
UCAAGCUAAAAAGAGCGCAAGGGGAAUGCCUUGGCAUCAGGAGCCGAAGAAGGACGUGACAAGCUGCGAUAAGCUGCGGUGAGGAGCAAAUAUCCUUUGACCCGCAGAUCUCCGAAUGGGGCAACCCGGCUGGACAAUAUCCAGUCAUCCUGCAUUGAAUCAAAUAGGUGUAGGAAGGGAACCGUCUGAACUGAAACAUCUAAGUAGGACGAGGAAAAGACAUCAACCGAGAUUCCGCAAGUAGUGGCGAGCGAACGCGGAGGAGGCCAAACCGGAGGAAUAAUUCUCCGGGGUUGCGGACAGUCAUUUAGCAGAAGAUAUCUAACCGAAGGGUCUGGGAAGGCCCACCACAGAGGGUGAGAGUCCCGUAGGUGAAAGAGAAGGCUGUGAGACUGAAUCCAGAGUACCGCAGGACACGUGAAACCCUGCGGGAAACAGGGGGGACCACCCUCCAAGCCUAAAUACUACCUGAUGACCGAUAGAGGAGCAGUACCGUGAGGGAAAGGUGAAAAGGACCCCGGGAGGGGAGUGAAAGAGAACCUGAAACCUUGUGCUUACAAGCAGUCAGAGCGCGUUAAAGCGUGAUGGCGUACUUUUUGUAGAACGGUCCGGCGAGUUAUAGUAACGAGCAAGCUUAAGGUAUUCAGUACCGGAGGCGCAGCGAAAGCGAGUCUGAAAAGGGCGCAUGAAGUUCGUUGCCAUAGACCCGAAACCGGGUGACCUACGCAUGAGCAGGUUGAAGUGGGGGUGAAACCCCAUGGAGGACCGAACCGACCCCCGUUGCAAUGGUGGCGGAUGACUUGUGUGUAGCGGUGAAAUUCCAAUCGAACUCGGAGAUAGCUGGUUCUCCCCGAAAUAGCUUUAGGGCUAGCGUUGUGUUAGAUUACCGGAGGUAAAGCACUGAAUGGUUUAGGGGCUGAUAAAGUUACCGACGCCUAUCAAACUCUGAAUGCCGGAUAAUUGAUGCACAGCAGUCAGACAGUGUGAGAUAAGUUUCAUUGUCAAAAGGGAAACAGCCCAGACCUACAGCUAAGGUCCCAAAUGUAUGCUAAGUGGAAAACGAUGUGGAAUUGCGAAAACAACCAGGAUGUUGGCUCAGAAGCAGCCACACAUUAAAAGAGUGCGUAAUAGCUCACUGGUCGAGUGACUCUGCGCGGAAAAUGUAACGGGGCUAAGCAUACAACCGAAGCUUAGGAUUGUCAAAAGACAGUGGUAGGGGAGCGUUCUGUACGGGGCGAAGUCGCAGCGGGAGCAGCGGUGGACUGUACAGAAGUGAGAAUGCCGGAAUGAGUAGCGAGAAUUAUGUGGGAAUCAUAAUGGCCGAAAAUCUAAGGUUUCUUGGGGAAGGUUCGUCCGCCCAAGGUAAGCCGGGAGCUAAGGCGAGGCCGCAAGGCGUAGUCGAUGCACAUACGGUAGAAAUUCCGUAGCCACCGAACCUUAAACCGGAAGGACACUUUCAGAUAGCAGAACCCAGCCGUUGGUAGAGCUGGGCGAAAGGGACUGAAAUAUAGUAGGGAAGUCUGCGAUGCUGAGAGGCGAGAAAAGCUCCGGUGUAUGCUAAGGUGCCCGUACCGCAAACCGACACAGGUAGAUGAGGAGAGAAUCCUAAGGCCAACGGGAGAAGGGUUGUUAAGGAACUCGGCAAAUUGACCCCGUAACUUCGGAAGAAGGGGAGCCCCGAAAGGGGCCGCAGUGAAUAGGCCCAAGCAACUGUUUACCAAAAACACAGGUUUAUGCUAAAUCGAAAGAUGACGUAUAUGAGCUGACGCCUGCCCGGUGCCGGAAGGUUAAGAGGAGAUGUGAGCCGCAAGGUGAAGCAUUGAAUUGAAGCCCCGGUAAACGGCGGCCGUAACUAUAACGGUCCUAAGGUAGCGAAAUUCCUUGUCAGGUAA